Molecule: long non-coding RNA, 813 nt
Organism: Notothenia coriiceps (black rockcod)
Lineage: Eukaryota; Metazoa; Chordata; Actinopteri; Perciformes; Nototheniidae
Exons: 3
Source: RefSeq, a predicted model, not a curated record
UUCAGCCGUCCUAGCUGUGAAGUGUGUGUCCGGCAGGAUCUGGGAGUUUUCCAUCUCUCUCUUUGGCACAGAGCCUCAAGUGGAUGAUGUCAUCAUCACUGAGGCCACUGAGUUAGGCAAGACAUCAGCUGUGGGCUUCCAUCUGACCAGCACCACCAGGAGGCCAGAGCGGUUCACCGCAGCGUUCCUACCCGGCAGCAGCAGUGAGUUCUCUGUGACACCAGCCUCGGGGGUGUUACCUCCUGUUGGUUCUCCUGGAGCCCCCUUCAGUCUGUGCUUCACACCCAGCACACACAGCAACCACAGAGCAAGGCUAACCAUCCAGACAAAAGAUGUGCAGUGGACCUACGAGGUGAGAGGGGAAACCCCUCCUGACCCCCCACCCAUCUGUAGCACACCCACCAGAGGCAGCUUUCCUGUGCCAAUCAAUCCAACCAAUCAACAGCCGAGGAGCUUUGUGGCUCAGAACCUCCGUCUCCCUGCCCUGGCUAACUCGUCCCCUCUCAAAGUCCGCAGAUAAAGGCAACGCCACUCUCGAACAGCUAACAGCGACGUUUCUGUCUGAUUUCCUUUACCCAGCAACAUCUACCACACAAUGUCACCUCCAAAGACAUACCUUUAUAAUUAGCUAUUUGGACUGGCACGUUGCCAUAUGGCAGCGAUGGUGAUGGGUAUCACCGCUUGUCCUUUUUGUCUCUUAAAAUUGAACAUUAGUCCUGUUAGUGCUUCUCAGCAGCAGCUGACACACACGGCUGCCAAUACUAAAAUGUCUUCCCUGUGGCAAGUGAAGUGAAAUGACAAUUAUUUUUAAAA